This 231-nucleotide unclassified non-coding RNA is filed under the name plant metagenome. Its description in RNAcentral is "partial contains small subunit ribosomal RNA, internal transcribed spacer 1, and 5.8S ribosomal RNA". The record is from RNAcentral.
UCUCCGUUGGUGAACCAGCGGAGGGAUCAUUACCGAGUCCCAGCAACUCCCAACCCUAGGCAACCGUACCCCAGUCUGUUCUGGUUGCUUCGGGCAGGCGGCGGGGGCCACCUCGCCCCACCCCCAGCCGGGGGCGGCGGGCCCACUGAACCUUUAGAUCUCAACCGCGGCAACCCGUCAGAGAAACACAAAAAAUAAUCAAAACUUUCAACAACGGAUCUCUUGGCUCUG